Molecule: ribosomal RNA, 506 nt
Filed under: uncultured bacterium
Lineage: Bacteria
Description: partial 16S ribosomal RNA
Rfam family: Bacterial small subunit ribosomal RNA
Source: RNAcentral
AUUGAACGCGGGCGGCAUGCCUAACACAUGCAAGUCGAACGGCAGCAUGAAAUGGGUAACCAUUUUGAUGGCGAGUGGCGGACGGGUGAGUAAUACGUAGGAAUCUACCUAGAGGUAGGGGAUAACUUAGGGAAACUUAAGCUAAUACCAUAUAAGCCCCAAGGGGGAAAGCAGGGGAUCUUCGGACCUUGCGCCUUAUGAUGAGCCUACGUCGGAUUAGCUUGUUGGUGGGGUAAGGGCCUACCAAGGCGACGAUCUGUAGCGGGUCUGAGAGGAUGAUCCGCCACACUGGGACUGAGACACGGCCCAGACUCCUACGGGAGGCAGCAGUGGGGAAUAUUGGACAAUGGGGGGAACCCUGAUUCAGCCAUGCCGCGUGUGUGAGGAAGGUCUUCGGAUCGUAAAGCUCUGUUGUAAGAGAAAAACGACAUUCAUAGGGAAUGAUGAGUGAGUGAUGGUAUCUUACCAGAAAGUCACGGCUAACUACGUGCCAGCCGCCGCGGUAA